AAUUUUAAUUAAGUAUAGAAUGUUUAUAUAAUAACAUAAUAUUAUAUUAUUAUAGUAUUGUGAUAAAAAUGAUUAGUAUACUUAUAUAGAAAGUACCUUGAGGGAAAGUCUUUAAUUUUAAAAAGUAAAAUUUAAUUUUUGUACCUUUUGCAUUAUGAUUUUUCGAAAAAAAUAGUUAAAAACUAAACUUCGAAUUUUUAUGAUCUUUAAUAAAUAAUUAUUAUUAUUAUGUGGCAAAAUAAGUGUAUUUAGUUUAUUAAAGAAGUUAUAUGCUAAUCGAAUAAAAAUAUAGCUAAUUUUUUGAUAAAAUUAUUAAAGUAAUAAUACAAUUCUUAAAUGAAAAGAUUUUGGAAUUUGUGAACUAACUGUUUAAAAUAAAAAAAAUUAGGAUUUAAAUUUUCUUUAUAAAAAAUAUACUAUAAUUUUUAUAACUAAUAAAAUUUUAUUUAUUAGUCACUUUUUUAUCAAAAUGUUUUUAUGAAUUAUUUUAAAAAAUAACAAUGAAAAAAUGAGUAUUUUGUUUUAAUAAAAAAGAAAACCAAGAAAAAAAAUUUUUUUUUAAAAAAAUUUUUAAGGAAUUCGGCAAUAAAAGUUUCAACUGUUUAUCAAAAACAUAGCUUUAAGUAUAAAUUUAAAGUUUUACCUGCCCGGUGAGUAAUUACUUUAACGGCCGCAGUAUUUUGACUGUGCAAAGGUAGCGUAAUCAUUAGCUUUUUAAUUGAAGGCAUGUAUGAAUGGUUUUAUUGAGAACUUUGCUGUCUCUAAAAUUUUAUAUAAAAAUUAAUUUUUAAGUUAAAAAGCUUAAAUUCUAAAAAAAGACGAAAAGACCCUAUUGAGCUUUAUUACAAUAAUAUUUUUAUUUAUUAAAAAUAAUAAUUUUUAUUAUUGUAAUUUGGUUGGGGCAACCAAGGAAAUUUUUAUGCUUCCUUAAAGUAAACUUAUUAGAUCUUUUUUUAAAAAAUGAUAAAGUUACCAUAGGGAUAACAGCGUAAUCUCUUUUGAGAGUUCUUAUCAAAAAAGGGGGUUGCGACCUCGAUGUUGGAUUAGGAUAUCAUAAAGGUGCAGCAGUUUUUAGAUGUUGGUCUGUUCGACCAUUAAAAUCCUACAUGAUCUGAGUUCAGACCGACGUAAGUCAGGUCAGUUUUUAUCUUUUUUAGAAAAAUUUUCUCUUUAGUACGAAAGGAUUAAGAGAAAAAAAUAUUUUUGUUUUAACAAUAUUUAUUUG
This 1225-nucleotide ribosomal RNA is filed under the name Loxocorone allax. RNAcentral's name for it is "large subunit rRNA". The stretch from base 788 to 1158 matches the Rfam family "Bacterial large subunit ribosomal RNA", at positions 2049 to 2651 of the family's 2925-position model. The record is from RNAcentral. Lineage: Eukaryota; Metazoa; Entoprocta; Loxosomatidae.